GAACGAGAAGGUGACUUCGGUUACUGGACAGUGGCGCACGGGUGAGUAACGCGUGGGAACCUGCCCCGAGGUACGGAACAACGGCUGGAAACGGCCGCUAAUGCCGUAUGUGUCCUGAGGGAGAAAGAUUUAUCGCCUUGGGAGGGGCCCGCGUCCGAUUAGCUAGUUGGUGAGGUAAUGGCUCACCAAGGCGACGAUCGGUAGCUGGUCUGAGAGGAUGAUCAGCCACACUGGGACUGAGACACGGCCCAGACUCCUACGGGAGGCAGCAGUGGGGAAUAUUGGACAAUGGGGGCAACCCUGAUCCAGCAAUGCCGCGUGUGUGAUGAAGGCCUUAGGGUUGUAAAGCACUUUCACUGGUGAAGAUGAUGACGGUAGCCAGAGAAGAAGCCCCGGCUAACUCCGUGCCAGCAGCCGCGGUAAUACGGAGGGGGCAAGCGUUGUUCGGAAUUACUGGGCGUAAAGGGCGUGUAGGCGGCGGUCUUAGUCAGGCGUGAAAGCCCGGGGCUCAACCUCGGAAUAGCGCUUGAUACUGGAUUGCUUGAGACCGGAAGAGGGUAGUGGAAUUCCCAGUGUAGAGGUGAAAUUCGUAGAUAUUGGG
Molecule: ribosomal RNA, 601 nt
Filed under: Nisaea denitrificans
Lineage: Bacteria; Pseudomonadati; Pseudomonadota; Alphaproteobacteria; Rhodospirillales; Thalassobaculaceae
Description: bacterial SSU rRNA
Rfam family: Bacterial small subunit ribosomal RNA
Source: RNAcentral